Molecule: ribosomal RNA, 498 nt
Filed under: uncultured marine bacterium
Lineage: Bacteria
Description: bacterial SSU rRNA
Rfam family: Bacterial small subunit ribosomal RNA
Source: RNAcentral
CAGGACGAACGCUGGCGGCGUGCCUAAUACAUGCAAGUCGAGCGGAGAAAUGGGAGCUUGCUCCCAUUUCUCAGCGGCGGACGGGUGAGUAACACGUGGGCAACCUGCCCUACAGACUGGGAUAACUCCGGGAAACCGGAGCUAAUACCGGGUAAUACAUAGCAUCGCAUGAUGCAACGUUGAAAGUUGGCCUUUGGCUAACACUGUAGGAUGGGCCCGCGGCGCAUUAGCUAGUUGGUAAGGUAACGGCUUACCAAGGCCACGAUGCGUAGCCGACCUGAGAGGGUGAUCGGCCACACUGGGACUGAGACCCGGCCCAGACUCCUACGGGAGGCAGCAGUAGGGAAUCUUCCGCAAUGGACGAAAGUUUGACGGAGCCACGCCGCGUGAGUGACGAAGGCCUUCGGGUCGUAAAGCUCUGUUGUUAGGGAAGAACAAGUACCGUUCGAAUAGGGCGGUACCUUGACGGUACCUAACCAGAAAGCCACGGCUAACUAC